GGGCCCGCACAAGCGGUGGAGCAUGUGGUUUAAUUCGAUGCAACGCGAAGAACCUUACCUGGUCUUGACAUACACAGAAUCUUGUAGAGAUACGAGAGUGCCUUCGGGAAUUGUGAUACAGGUGCUGCAUGGCUGUCGUCAGCUCGUGCUGUGAGGUGUCGGGUUAAGUCCCAUAACGAGCGCAACCCCUAUCCUUAGUUGCCAGCGAGUAAUGUCGGGGACUCUAGGGAAACUGCCGGUGCAAACCGUGAGGAAGGUGGGGAUGACGUCAAAUCAUCACGGCCCUUACGACCAGGGCUACACACGUGCUACAAUGGUAGGUACAGAGGGCAGCUACACAGCGAUGUGAUGCGAAUCUCAAAAGCCUAUCGUAGUCCGGAUUGGAGUCUGCAACUCGACUCCAUGAAGUCGGAAUCGCUAGUAAUCG
Molecule: ribosomal RNA, 427 nt
Filed under: uncultured bacterium
Lineage: Bacteria
Description: bacterial SSU rRNA
Rfam family: Bacterial small subunit ribosomal RNA
Source: RNAcentral